Molecule: transfer RNA, 72 nt
Filed under: Ceratitis capitata (Mediterranean fruit fly)
Lineage: Eukaryota; Metazoa; Arthropoda; Insecta; Diptera; Tephritidae
Description: tRNA-Val
Source: RNAcentral
GGCAGCGACAGCCGAGUGGUAAGCAUUACGACUGACAUUCGGAAGGCUCGGGUUCAAAUCCCAAUGCUACCA